GUCCGGGAAGCCGGCAGCCGGCAGGCGAGGGCGGCGGCUGGGGCGGCAGGACCCCAGCGGCCAUUACGCGGCCGGGGCCUGGUGCUGCUCGCGCGCCCCCGCUGCCAGGCGGCGAAACGCGGGUGAUUCCUGCCAAAAAACGUGUGGUGCCCGGCGUACCACCCCCGACUGCGAGCUGAAAACGUGCCCGACCUCAGGGUAUAUUUUUUUUCAAACUAACUCCGCCUGUCCUUUAUUCCAGUAGAACUGAGGAGCAGGAUGGUGGAGGAGGGUGACAGGCAGAGAGUGACAGCAUCAGGAGCCCUUGCUGUGUCAGCUGGAGCAACAAUUGCUUUACUUGUUUGCUCUUUUGGCCCUGGAGUGAUACUGGGUGAUGACGUUUUUCCAUACGCAAGCAACCUGGCACUUAUGUAGAGGAAACCCUGCUCCUUUUGAAGAGCUUUACGUGGCUGGCUGGGGACAGUCGCCCUUCCGAAUUGAGCAAAACCCAUGGCAUUCAUGCCCGCACCCUAGCCUGGAUUGCUCAGACAUGUCCUGUUGCCUGGGCUUUCUAUGAUGGUGGAACGGGCUUGAUAAGGCUUAACGUGGUAAGAGUCCACAUACAUCAGUGAAAUGCAGGAAAUAUGGGUGGCGUGCAGCUGUGGUUAGGAGAACGCCUUCGGAANNNNNNNNNNNNNNNNNNCAACCCCUAACUUUUGGUUUUUGCCCCCCCCCCCCCCCAAAAAAAAAAAAAGUUUCAGAUAAUUUGUGUGAAAUGCAAAAUCAGAAGUUUUUUUUUGUUUUGCAACGAGAUAUCAGUAGGCCUUUCUGUUCAGGUGUGGAGUAGAGAGGGGAAGAGGGAACUGCAAGAACGGGUUCCCUCCUUUUCAAGCCUACCUGAUGUACAGGGAGACCAGAUUUAAUAAAUAUUGAUUAAAACUUCA
Molecule: long non-coding RNA, 923 nt
Filed under: Struthio camelus australis
Lineage: Eukaryota; Metazoa; Chordata; Aves; Struthioniformes; Struthionidae
Description: lncRNA (ENSSCUG00000007687.1)
Source: RNAcentral